UACAGGCAAUCCUGCAGAGUGGGAAUAAACAUUUGAGGCAUCAGGAGAUCAAGACUUUCUUCAUACCUAGGCUGCUCUUGAGAGACAAAACAUGAAGACUGUGAUUGUCGCCCUUUCGCUCGUGUUGAUUAUCGGCCACAGUGAAGCGUUGAAGUGCUACUGUGCAGGCAGGCGUGUUUGUCCAGGCGGUCAGGAGACAUGCCGUGGUUUCGAUGAUGUUUGUGCCAACAUCACAUAUACUGCUAACACCUCGGGUGCCCGCUUCCUCAAGGGUUGCCAUAUGAAAGCGUUUUGCAAAUUUUAUACCGACUCGCCAAUAUCGACUGGUACCUGCUGCACCACUGAUCUGUGCAACAGUUAAAUGGACGCCACGCAACACAUCCUCCAAUGAAUGAAGAAUCCACUGUAGAGUGUACAAAUAAAGUUUUUUUUUUUUAAUUCA
Long non-coding RNA from Solea senegalensis (Senegalese sole), 442 nucleotides. RefSeq lists it as uncharacterized. The transcript has 3 exons. Lineage: Eukaryota; Metazoa; Chordata; Actinopteri; Pleuronectiformes; Soleidae. The record is from RefSeq and is a predicted model, not a curated record.